Molecule: unclassified non-coding RNA, 354 nt
Filed under: soil metagenome
Description: partial contains 5.8S ribosomal RNA, internal transcribed spacer 2, and large subunit ribosomal RNA
Rfam family: 5.8S ribosomal RNA (bases 1-120)
Source: RNAcentral
GAUGAAGAACGCAGCGAAAUGCGAUACGUAAUGUGAAUUGCAGAAUUCCGUGAAUCAUCGAAUCUUUGAACGCACAUUGCGCCCCCUGGCAUUCCGGGGGGCAUGCCUGUCCGAGCGUCAUUUCUGCCCUCCAGCCCGGCUGGGUGUUGGGCGCUGUCCCCCCGGGGACACGCCCCAAAGGCAGUGGCGGCGCCGCGUCGGGUCCUCGAGCGUAUGGGGCUUUGUCACCCGCUCGGGACGGACUCGUCGGCGCUGGUCUUCCUCCAGGCGACCCUUCGGGGCUCGUCUUCCUUCGGUUGACCUCGGAUCAGGUAGGGUUACCCGCUGAACUUAAGCAUAUCAAUAAGCGGAGGA